UCAGGACGAACGCUGGCGGCGUGCCUAAUACAUGCAAGUCGAACGGUCUUUCUAUGGAAGCUUGCUCCACCGAGAAGAUAGUGGCGAACGGGUGAGUAACACGUGGGUAACCUGCCCAUAAGAGGGGGAUAACAUCCGGAAACGGGUGCUAAUACCGCAUAGUUUUCUUGAUUGCAUGAUUGAGAAAGGAAAGACGGCCUUUGUGCUGUCGCUUAUGGAUGGACCCGCGGCGUAUUAGUUAGUUGGUGAGGUAACGGCUCACCAAGACGAUGAUACGUAGCCGACCUGAGAGGGUGAUCGGCCACAUUGGGACUGAGACACGGCCCAAACUCCUACGGGAGGCAGCAGUAGGGAAUCUUCCGCAAUGGACGAAAGUCUGACGGAGCAACGCCGCGUGAGUGAAAGAAGGUUUUCGGAUCGUAAAACUCUGUUGUCAGAGAAGAACAAGUUGGAGAGUAACUGCUCCAGCCUUGACGGUAUCUGACCAGAAAGCCACGGCUAACUACGUGCCAGCCGCGGC
This 520-nucleotide ribosomal RNA is filed under the name uncultured bacterium. RNAcentral's name for it is "bacterial SSU rRNA". It matches the Rfam family "Bacterial small subunit ribosomal RNA", at positions 24 to 518 of the family's 1533-position model. The record is from RNAcentral.